Molecule: non-coding RNA, 190 nt
Organism: Richelia intracellularis HM01
Lineage: Bacteria; Bacillati; Cyanobacteriota; Cyanophyceae; Nostocales; Nostocaceae
Rfam family: 6S / SsrS RNA
About the family: E. coli 6S RNA was the first non coding RNA to be sequenced, but its function was unknown until recently. It consists of 184 nucleotides that fold into an extended hairpin structure with a large single-stranded internal bulge. The 6S RNA specifically associates with RNA polymerase holoenzyme containing the sigma70 specificity factor.
Source: Rfam
GUUAUACUGUGACGUUGGUGACUGCCAUCAAGUUUUUUGAUCUAUGUCUUUAAGAAUAAGGGAACCAUACAGUAAUAUUUCGUGGCAGUAGACCGUGGCCUUGUACCCGGAAACUUCAAACGAAAAUAAUUGGUGCCCACCUGGUUUAACCAGGUCAGAAACUUAGGUAAAACGGCGUUGUGGUAAACUU